GAUGAACGCUGGCGGCGUGCCUAAUACAUGCCAGUCGAGCGAACGGACGAGAAGCUUGCUUCUCUGAUGUUAGCGGCGGACGGGUGAGUAACACGUGGAUAACCUACCUAUAAGACUGGGAUAACUUCGGGAAACCGGAGCUAAUACCGGAUAAUAUUUUGAACCGCAUGGUUCAAAAGUGAAAGACGGUCUUGCUGUCACUUAUAGAUGGAUCCGCGCUGCAUUAGCUAGUUGGUAAGGUAACGGCUUACCAAGGCAACGAUGCAUAACCGACCUGAGAGGGUGAUCGGCCACACUGGAACUGAGACACGGUCCAGACUCCUACGGGAGGCAGCAGUAGGGAAUCUUCCGCAAUGGGCGAAAGCCUGACGGAGCAACGCCGCGUGAGUGAUGAAGGUCUUCGGAUCGUAAAACUCUGUUAUUAGGGAAGAACAUAUGUGUAAGUAACUGUGCACAUCUUGACGGUACCUAAUCAGAAAGCCACGGCUAACUACGUG
RNAcentral lists this ribosomal RNA (497 nucleotides) under uncultured bacterium. RNAcentral's name for it is "partial 16S ribosomal RNA". It matches the Rfam family "Bacterial small subunit ribosomal RNA", at positions 28 to 507 of the family's 1533-position model. The record is from RNAcentral.